Molecule: ribosomal RNA, 568 nt
Filed under: uncultured bacterium
Lineage: Bacteria
Description: bacterial SSU rRNA
Rfam family: Bacterial small subunit ribosomal RNA
Source: RNAcentral
AGGCAGCAGUGGGGAAUAUCGGACAAUGGGCGCAAGCCUGAUCCAGCCAUGCCGCGUGCAGGAUGACGGUCCUAUGGAUUGUAAACUGCUUUUGUACAGGAAGAAACCCUUUCACGUGUGAAAGAUUGACGGUACUGUAAGAAUAAGGAUCGGCUAACUCCGUGUCAGCAGCCGCGGUAAUACGGAGGAUCCAAGCGUUAUCCGGAAUCAUUGGGUUUAAAGGGUCCGUAGGCGGCCAGGUAAGUCAGUGGUGAAAUCCCAUCGCUCAACGGUGGAACGGCCAUUGAUACUGCCUGGCUUGAAUUACAAGGAAGUAACUAGAAUAUGUAGUGUAGCGGUGAAAUGCUUAGAGAUUACAUGGAAUACCAAUUGCGAAGGCAGGUUACUACUUGUGGAUUGACGCUGAUGGACGAAAGCGUGGGUAGCGAACGGGAUUAGAUACCCUGGUAGUCCACGCCGUAAACGAUGGAUACUAGUUGUUGGGAGCAAUCUCAGUGGCUAAGCGAAAGUGAUAAGUAUCCCACCUGGGGAGUACGUUCGCAAGAAUGAAACUCAAAAGAAUUGACGG